RNAcentral lists this ribosomal RNA (450 nucleotides) under Triticum aestivum (bread wheat). Its description in RNAcentral is "partial small subunit ribosomal RNA". Lineage: Eukaryota; Viridiplantae; Streptophyta; Magnoliopsida; Poales; Poaceae. The record is from RNAcentral.
AUGGAAGAGUCGCCCGAGAACGCCGCCGCAGCGCCCGCGCCACCCGCCGCCCCGACCCCGGCACCGAAGCCGUCCCUGCCCACUAGGUUCGGGAUACCGCCGCUGUACAACCUCGACGCCAAGUGGGACGCCUGCCUCGACCUUGCCAUCCGCCGCGGGACGCAUGUCACCUACUCCUUCCUCACUGAUGCCUUCGGGGGCCUCAUCCCCUUCCGUAGCCCAACAACACGCUGGGCAUCAGUUGCACUUGGAGCUGGUGUGGGGAUAGGGGACGCAUUGACUGAAUGCUCAUACAUAUUCAAUGGUUCUCCUCCAAAGUGGAUGGCCCCUGAAUGCUCAUACAUAUUGAAUGGUUCUCCUCCAAAGUGGGGAAAGGUAAGCAUUUCUCUUCUCCCCCUUACCCUCUGUUCAUCUCUUUCCUCCGGCUGCUUGCUGAACCACAUCAAGUAA